GCCGCAGCAAAACGCAUUAAGUGCCCCGCCUGGGAGUACGGCCGCAAGGCUAAACUCAAAGGAAUUGACGGGGGCCCGCACAAGCGGCGGAGCAUGCGGGAUUAAUUCGAUGCAACGCGAAGAACCUUACCAAGGCUUGACAUGCACGAGAAGCCACCAGAGAUGGUGGUCUCUUUUGGACACUCGUGCACAGGUGGUGCAUGGUUGUCGUCAGCUCGUGUCGUGAGAUGUUGGGUUAAGUCCCGCAACGAGCGCAACCCUUGUCCCAUGUUGCCAGCGGGUUAUGCCGGGGACUCAUGGGAGACUGCCGGGGUCAACUCGGAGGAAGGUGGGGAUGACGUCAAAUCAUCAUGCCCCUUAUGUCUUGGGCUUCACGCAUGCUACAAUGGCCGGUACAAAGGGCUGCGAUACCGUAAGGUGGAGCGAAUCCCAAAAAGCCGGUCUCAGUUCGGAUUGGGGUCUGCAACUCGACCCCAUGAAGUCGGAGUCGCUAGUAAUCGCAGAUCAGCAACGCUGCGGUGAAUACGUUUCCGGGCCUUGUACACCCCGCCCGUCAAGUCUCGAAACUCGGUAACCCUAGAAGNCCACANCGUAACCGUUNAGNUUGAUACCUGUNUCNNUCCAUCUCNCNNGNAUNG
RNAcentral lists this ribosomal RNA (638 nucleotides) under Cellulosimicrobium cellulans. RNAcentral describes it as "bacterial SSU rRNA". It matches the Rfam family "Bacterial small subunit ribosomal RNA", at positions 845 to 1533 of the family's 1533-position model. The record is from RNAcentral. Lineage: Bacteria; Bacillati; Actinomycetota; Actinomycetes; Micrococcales; Promicromonosporaceae.